GAUGGAGAACGGCAGCGAAAUGCGAUACGUAAUGUGAAUUGCAGAAUUCAGUGAAUCAUCGAGUCUUUGAACGCACAUUGCGCCCCCUGGUAUUCCGGGGGGCAUGCCUGUCCGAGCGUCAUUGCUGCCCUCAAGCACGGCUUGUGUGUUGGGCCUCCGUCCUCCUCCCGGGGGACGGGCCCGAAAGGCAGCGGCGGCACCGCGUCCGGUCCUCGAGCGUAUGGGGCUUCGUCACCCGCUCUUGUAGGCCCGGCCGGCGCUUGCCGACACAUCAAUCUUUUUUCCAGGUUGACCUCGGAUCAGGUAGGGAUACCCGCUGAACUUAAGCAUAUCAAUAAGCGGAGGA
RNAcentral lists this unclassified non-coding RNA (346 nucleotides) under soil metagenome. RNAcentral's name for it is "partial contains 5.8S ribosomal RNA, internal transcribed spacer 2, and large subunit ribosomal RNA". The stretch from base 1 to 121 matches the Rfam family "5.8S ribosomal RNA", at positions 35 to 154 of the family's 154-position model. The record is from RNAcentral.